RNAcentral lists this non-coding RNA (78 nucleotides) under Helianthus annuus (common sunflower). Lineage: Eukaryota; Viridiplantae; Streptophyta; Magnoliopsida; Asterales; Asteraceae. The record is from RNAcentral.
AGGAGCCGUAUGAGAUGAAAAUUUCAUGUAUGGUUCUACAAUAGGGAUGAGAACAGUGAUGUUCUCAUCUACUAUGAU